AAGCUCGUAGUUGAAUUUCGGGGUCAGUAGGUUGGUCGUGCCACCGGUACGUACUGAUCUCACUGAUUCCUCCUUCCUGAUGAGCUGUAAUGCCAUUAAUUUGGUGUUGCAGGGAAUCUGGACUGUUACUUUGAAAAAAUUAGAGUGUUUAAAGCAGGCUAACGCUUGAAUACAUUAGCAUGGAAUAAUGAAAUAGGACGUUCGAUCCUAUUUUGUUGGCUUCUAGGAUUGACGUAAUGAUUAAUAGGGAAGUUGGG
Molecule: ribosomal RNA, 257 nt
Filed under: uncultured Glomus
Lineage: Eukaryota; Fungi; Glomeromycota; Glomeromycetes; Glomerales; Glomeraceae
Description: partial 18S ribosomal RNA
Rfam family: Eukaryotic small subunit ribosomal RNA
Source: RNAcentral